Molecule: ribosomal RNA, 164 nt
Filed under: uncultured bacterium
Lineage: Bacteria
Description: partial 16S ribosomal RNA
Rfam family: Bacterial small subunit ribosomal RNA
Source: RNAcentral
UAGGGAAUCUUCGGCAAUGGACGAAAGUCUGACCGAGCAACGCCGCGUGAGUGAAGAAGGUUUUCGGAUCGUAAAACUCUGUUGUUAGAGAAGAACAAGGGUGAGAGUAACUGUUCACCCCUUGACGGUAUCUAACCAGAAAGCCACGGCUAACUACGUGCCAG